This 92-nucleotide transfer RNA is filed under the name Cyanidiococcus yangmingshanensis. Its description in RNAcentral is "tRNA-Ser". It matches the Rfam family "tRNA". Rfam says of the family: Transfer RNA (tRNA) molecules are approximately 80 nucleotides in length. Their secondary structure includes four short double-helical elements and three loops (D, anti-codon, and T loops). Lineage: Eukaryota; Rhodophyta; Bangiophyceae; Cyanidiales; Cyanidiaceae. The record is from RNAcentral.
GAGAUGGCCGAGUGGUUUAAAGCAGUAGUUUGCUAAACUAUCAUAUACAUAAUGAAUUAUGUAUAUCAUGGGUUCGAAUCCCAUUCUCUUCA